CUACGGGGGGCUGCAGUGGGGAAUAUUGCACAAUGGGCGCAAGCCUGAUGCAGCCAUGCCGCGUGCAUGAAGAAGGCCUUCGGGUUGUAAAGUACUUUCAGCGGGGAGGAAGGGAGUAAAGUUAAUACCUUUGCUCAUUGACGUUACCCGCAGAAGAAGCACCGGCUAACUCCGUGCCAGCAGCCGCGGUAAUACGGAGGGUGCAAGCGUUAAUCGGAAUUACUGGGCGUAAAGCGCACGCAGGCGGUUUGUUAAGUCGAAUCUGAAAGCCCCCGGCUUAACCGGGGAGGGUGAUUUGAAACUGGCAGACUUGAGUACGGCAGAGGUUAGUGGAAUUCAAUGUGUAGCGGUGGAAUGCGUAGAUAUAUUGAGGAACACCAGUGGCGAAGGCGGCUAACUGGACCGGAACUGACGCUGAGGCACGAAAGCGUGGGGAGCAAACAGGAUUAGAUACCCGCGUAGUC
This 464-nucleotide ribosomal RNA is filed under the name uncultured bacterium. RNAcentral describes it as "partial 16S ribosomal RNA". It matches the Rfam family "Bacterial small subunit ribosomal RNA", at positions 339 to 795 of the family's 1533-position model. The record is from RNAcentral.